Molecule: small nuclear RNA, 107 nt
Organism: Suncus etruscus (white-toothed pygmy shrew)
Lineage: Eukaryota; Metazoa; Chordata; Mammalia; Eulipotyphla; Soricidae
Source: RefSeq, a predicted model, not a curated record
GUGCCCACUUUGGUAGCACAUAUACUAAAAUUGGAACGAUAUGGAAAAGAUUAGCAUGGCCACUGGGCAAGGAUGACACACAAAUCUGUGAAGUGUUCCAUAUUUUU